This 87-nucleotide transfer RNA is filed under the name Palleronia marisminoris. RNAcentral describes it as "tRNA-Arg". The record is from RNAcentral. Lineage: Bacteria; Pseudomonadati; Pseudomonadota; Alphaproteobacteria; Rhodobacterales; Roseobacteraceae.
GCCGGGCAGUGCGCCACGGGACCGCGCGCGGCUGCGGAUCGCGUCGGAGAUCUUGUCGGAGAUGCGGUCGCCGCCCUCGCCCGGCUC